RNAcentral lists this ribosomal RNA (556 nucleotides) under uncultured bacterium. Its description in RNAcentral is "partial 16S ribosomal RNA". It matches the Rfam family "Bacterial small subunit ribosomal RNA", at positions 355 to 900 of the family's 1533-position model. The record is from RNAcentral.
UGGGGAAUAUUGCACAAUGGGCGCAAGCCUGAUGCAGCCAUGCCGCGUGUGUGAAGAAGGCCUUCGGGUUGUAAAGCACUUUCAGCGAGGAGGAAGGUGGUGAACUUAAUACGUUCAUCAAUUGACGUUACUCGCAGAAGAAGCACCGGCUAACUCCGUGCCAGCAGCCGCAGUAAUACGGAGGGUGCAAGCGUUAAUCGGAAUUACUGGGCGUAAAGCGCACGCAGGCGGUUUGUUAAGUCAGAUGUGAAAUCCCCGGGCUCAACCUGGGAACUGCAUUUGAAACUGGCAAGCUAGAGUCUCGUAGAGGGGGGUAGAAUUCCAGGUGUAGCGGUGAAAUGCGUAGAGAUCUGGAGGAAUACCGGUGGCGAAGGCGGCCCCCUGGACGAAGACUGACGCUCAGGUGCGAAAGCGUGGGGCAGCAAACAGGAUUAGAUACCCUGGUGGUCCACGCUGUAAACGAUGUCGAUUUGGAGGUUGUGCCCUUGAGGCGUGGCUUCCGGAGCUAACGCGUUAAAGUCGACCGCCUGGGGGAGUACGGCCGCAAGGUUAAAAC